GGUAGGGUGGCAAACGGGUGAGUAAUACAUGGGUGAUCUACCUUAGGGAUGGGGAUAUCCUUCCGAAAGGAGGGGCAAUACCGAAUAUUGUCCGGAGCCGUGAAGGGUUCCGGGGAAAGGGAGGCCUCUGAUACAAGCUUUCGCCUUAAGAUGAGCCCAUGGCCCAUCAGCUAGUUGGUAGGGUAAAGGCCUACCAAGGCUACGACGGGUCGCUGGUCUGAGAGGACGACCAGCCACACUGGCACUGAGAUACGGGCCAGACUCCUACGGGAGGCAGCAGUGAGGAAUAUUGCGCAAUGGGGGAAACCCUGACGCAGCAACGCCGCGUGUGGGAAGAAGGCCUUCGGGUCGUAAACCACUUUUGCACGGGACGAAAAAGGGAUAUCGAACAAAUAUCCCCAAUGACGGUACCGUGGGAAUAAGCCACGGCUAACUCUGUGCCAGCCGCCGCGGUAAUACAAGGGC
RNAcentral lists this ribosomal RNA (465 nucleotides) under uncultured Leptospirillum sp. Its description in RNAcentral is "bacterial SSU rRNA". It matches the Rfam family "Bacterial small subunit ribosomal RNA", at positions 89 to 532 of the family's 1533-position model. Lineage: Bacteria; Pseudomonadati; Nitrospirota; Nitrospiria; Nitrospirales; Nitrospiraceae. The record is from RNAcentral.